UGGGAAUAUUGCACAAUGGGGGAAACCCUGAUGCAGCGACGCCGCGUGAGCGAUGAAGUAUUUCGGUAUGUAAAGCUCUAUCAGCAGGGAAGAAAAUGACGGUACCUGACUAAGAAGCCCCGGCUAACUACGUGCCAGCAGCCGCGGUAAUACGUAGGGGGCAAGCGUUAUCCGGAUUUACUGGGUGUAAAGGGAGCGUAGACGGCAUGGCAAGCCAGAUGUGAAGGCCCGGGGCUCAACCCCGGGACUGCAUUUGGAACUGUCAGGCUAGAGUGUCGGAGAGGAAAGCGGAAUUCCUAGUGUAGCGGUGAAAUGCGUAGAUAUUAGGAGGAACACCAGUGGCCGAAGGCGGCUUUCUGGACGAUGACUGAC
This 372-nucleotide ribosomal RNA is filed under the name uncultured Lachnospiraceae bacterium. RNAcentral describes it as "bacterial SSU rRNA". It matches the Rfam family "Bacterial small subunit ribosomal RNA", at positions 356 to 744 of the family's 1533-position model. The record is from RNAcentral. Lineage: Bacteria; Bacillati; Bacillota; Clostridia; Lachnospirales; Lachnospiraceae.